AUUCUAGGUGCUUUCUCGACACGUCGAAGAAGCCACUCUGAAUGUGGUGGAUGUGGGCCAUGCUGGUUCCCGGCUCAGCUCCAGCGGGUCUCCGGCUGGAGUAAUCAUUGCGUCCAAUCAAUUUUAGUGGGUGCAGAAAAUGUUCACUCCCAAGCAGGUUUUCAGCUGGACUCCCGAGGCCGAAGCCGCUUUCAGCAGGCUGAAGAGCCUGUUCUCGUUGUCGCCCAUCCUCGCGCAACUCGACCCCAGUUGGCAGUUUGUGGUGGAGGGGGAUGCCCCGGAUCCUGGUGGAGGUCCACCGAACCAGCUGUUCGUCCUGGAGGCGGUGCGGUCUGAUGUCCUGCAAUGGGCCCACGCCUCAAAGUUGACCUGCCACCCGGGGGUCAAUCACCCACCUGCCGUGGAGUGCCGUGGUCCCAGCGUCCACCGGACUGUCUCCCUUCAUGGCAUCCCUGGGGUACCAGCCUCUGUUAUUUGAGAUCCAGGAGGACGAAGUAGCGGUACCCUCGGUACAGGCCAGCAUGCGCCGUUGCAGGAGGGUGUGGAGGCAAGUCCGUGCUGCACUCCUGCGUCUCAGAAGCUGGCUCCUCGCUUCGUGGGGCCCUCUGAGGUGGAGCGGAUGGUGAAAGCUGCAGCCGAUUCAUCCUUGACGACGGCCUCCUCCAUGACUUCUACCACACCCAGACUUUGUGAACCUUGUGUUUUGAAUAAAGGCACUUUUAGUUCAUUUUUCCCCACUGUGGGUUGCCUGCUUUUGGGUCCUGAGACAACCAGUUCUAACAAACGACAUAUUUAGUCAUAUUUCUUGUCCUGAUUCUAAUCCUUCUCCAUCUUCUCAUAAUAGAGUAAAUAUGCUGUUUUCUGCAGCUGCUGGCACACAUGGUUAAAAUUUGUUUCUGUGACAACGUCGUCAUCGUAUGUCACCCAGCAGGCAUUCCCAUCCCCUUGGCUUGCGUUUCGAUAAACUCCGUCACAAAUGUAAUGGCCUGUGAAGGAAGGAACUGCUUUGUUAGUGGUCAAACUAGAAGGUUGGUUUUCAACACAGUACUGACAGCGAAACACUGACCGCUGGUAGUGCAACUCCCCAAAUAGUUGAAGAUGCUCCUCAGAGUAUAUUUUGUCUACAGAAAAUAAAAAGAACAAGCCAUUAGCUCCACUCUUUGAGCCAUUUCAGAUUGAUGACUGCUUAAAGGUUUAUCAAGGGUUUACCUUCUCACUGCUCUGAUUUGUAUGGAGUAGCAGCUCCCUGGAUAAACACGUGGCUUUGUGUAUUUUUUGCGCAGCAAAGUAGGACCACUUAAAUCUCAAUAGGUGGAUGAUCAGCACACUAUCGAGAAGAAAAGGGGAGGGAAGAGGAGAUGUAGAGACAGUUAGGGCCUUUAGAAGGCAGCAGAUGUGAGGAUGCUGAGAUGGCUGGUUCUCACUUUGGCAGAGUGAAGAAGGAUCUUUGCUCUGUCGUCUGGGAGGCGCCACAGUGACAUUGGUAAUCCAGCAGUUGCUCCUGCAGAAUCAACAACAGUUGUGAGGUUCAACAGCUCCUCCAUCAUUCACACAUGAACACCAAACAUGUGUCCCUUACUUUCAGGUACAGCUGUAUUCCUUGCAUGAUGGUGUCCUCAGGCGCCACGGACAGGUUCAAACACUCCUCCAUAUUUUCACGUUCAUGGCCACAACUGUAAUUCAAGAGAGGAUUCAAGUAACUAAGGAUUCAACUAAACAAGUUCAACACCGAUGCAGGAGCAGAAGGUUUCCAGGUAUAUUCCCACCUGUGGCACAGCAUGGUGCUCAACAUCUGGAAGCUGAUGUGAGCCUCCACAGGGCAGGUGUAGCUCUGCUGUUUCUCAUUUGCCAAUGACCUGAUCUCUGCAGAGAUGGAGCUCAGCUGUUCCAGGAUGGUGUUCAAAAAUUCGUGGGCAUCCUGCAGACAGACCAAAGUGUCUAGUCCAGAAAAGAUCAGGAUGAUGCUCUUGAAAAUAAAAGAAUGAUUACUUGUUGGGCAUCAUUUCUAAAUUCUGGAUGAUGCAGGGCAAUGGUCCGCAGGAAUUUAAAGAGGGUGGACUUCUCUUGCAUUCUGUUUUUAGUCGCGAAGCCAUUGUUGAUGUCACUGAGCAACCUGGAGAAAGGAGAAAGCAGAUGUUUUUCAUUCAUUGCAUUAAUGCCAUAGAAUAAUGGGGGCACGUGAGCUUGUGUUGUACUUGAAAAGCAGAGCUUUUGGGUGCGAAAGCCACUGUUGACUCUGUUUGUUGGGCUCCUUCACAAAAGGCAUGGGGGUCAGGAGGCUCUGGAGAACAGAGUUCAUAUAGCAGGUCUGGGACAGGUUGGGGAGCCUGAAACACAAGAAAAACUGAGCAAAGUGUUGUUGUUGAUGAUGAUAUGCAAAAUUUAUUACCCAUAACAGGCCAGUUCAUCAGAUGUAAGGGUUCUCCCACUUUCUAUUCUGCUUCUCGAGACCACAUAGUUUAAGGCCUCCAGGAAUCUAUUCUUUGUAGCACUAGGCUGUGACGUCACAGCCAAAACAGCCGCCAGAUGUGAAGAAAGCGAGUCUUCCUCAUUCUUCUCCUCCAGGCUCUGUUAGUUAAAGGCAAAGCAAAAUCAGCUCAAUCUAUUAAAAAUGUACCUGGUGACCUGGGUGCCACUGACACAGGACGAAUAUAUCUCUGGGUCUUCUUCAUCUGUGGACCCCAGGCUCUGUUAAGAAUAAAGCAAAAUCAGCUCAAUCUAGAAAAACAAAGUCAAAAAUACAUCAAUGUUAAUUAUAGAAAGAGCAUUUUUACAGCUUGUUCGACAUCACUGCUGAAUGUGGAGGAACAGGGGCUGUCCACCAGACACGUGUCCACUUCUCCGGCCAAUGCAGGACACUUUGGUCUCUGUUGGAAGAGUAGACAGGGUCCAUGUGAAACAUCGGGAACUGGUGUUAAAUUUUCUCUAUCACAAGAGAAAAAUGUACCUGGUGAGCCUGGCUGGUGGACUCUUGCCGAGGGCUCUUCAGCCAGCUCCUCCUGUUCGGUGUCACUGACACAGGAAGAAUGUAUCUCUGGGUCUUCUUCAUCUGUAGACCCCAGGCUCCGUUAAGAAUAAAGCAACAUCAGCUCAAUCACGUUAAACAAAGUCAAAAAUAUAUCAAUGUUAAGUUUAGAAGAAGCAUUUUUAUAGCUUGUUCAAUGUCGCUGCUGGAUGUGGAGGAACAGGGACUGUCUACUGGACACGUGUCUUCUCCUCCUUCCCCUGCAGGACACUUUGGGCUCUGUUUGUUGGAAGAGGAGACAGGGUCCAUGUGAAACAUAACUACCUCAGAAUGUCCCACAAACAUUCUCUCUCGGUGGUACCCAUUUUCCAUCAGCCACAGAGAAAUGCAUGAAGAGCCUCAGGAAAAACCUUUUACUGCUCCCUAAAGGGUGCCCCUUCCAUCAGGGAGGCCAACGAUCUGCUGACUUCAGCCCACACGUAAGUCUUUGGAAAAAUCAAGGCAAG
RNAcentral lists this long non-coding RNA (3471 nucleotides) under Takifugu rubripes (torafugu). RNAcentral describes it as "lncRNA (ENSTRUG00000026853.1)". Lineage: Eukaryota; Metazoa; Chordata; Actinopteri; Tetraodontiformes; Tetraodontidae. The record is from RNAcentral.